RNAcentral lists this ribosomal RNA (298 nucleotides) under uncultured bacterium. RNAcentral's name for it is "partial 16S ribosomal RNA". It matches the Rfam family "Bacterial small subunit ribosomal RNA", at positions 475 to 776 of the family's 1533-position model. The record is from RNAcentral.
CUAUGCGCCUUGCCAGCCCGCUCAGGUGUGCCAGCAGCCGCGGUAAUACGUAGGGGCAAGCGUUAUCCGGAUUUACUGGGUGUAAAGGGAGCGUAGACGGCCAGGCAAGUCUGAAGUGAAAGCCCGGGGCUCAACCCCGGGACUGCUCUGGAAACUGUAAAGCUGGAGUGCGGGAGGGGCAGGCGGAAUUCCUAGUGUAGCGGUGAAAUGCGUAGAUAUCAGGAGGAACACCGGCGGCGAAGGCGGCCUGCUGGACCGUAACUGACGUUGAGGCUCGAAAGCGUGGGGAGCAAACAGG